Molecule: long non-coding RNA, 724 nt
Organism: Mandrillus leucophaeus (drill)
Lineage: Eukaryota; Metazoa; Chordata; Mammalia; Primates; Cercopithecidae
Exons: 3
Source: RefSeq, a predicted model, not a curated record
AGGUAAUCUCUCUUAAGAUCCAACCCAAGCUAUUCCCUAUAUACAAGCUAGAAUCAGCCAAAAACAUAAGGAGACUCCACCAGGAGUGGGGAGUUCUUGAGAAAGCUUUUGCUUCUGAAAAAAGAUAAAAGUACACAGGAGAGCUGUCUGGUGCCAUUCCUUGAGCAUGUGAGAGACUGUGUCACUGGAAGCAGCAGUUAUCUCUGGCCAUAAGUUGAGAUGACUGGGUGAAACGCUAAAAUGUUGAGAAGACAAUACAUAGGAGUGAAUGAGACAGAAAGCGAGACCUUGAGGAUGAUUAAGAAGAGCAAGUACAACAUGGCUGAGACUAAGUGUCCAGGGAGUUGAGAAUAAGUGGCCUAUUGUCAUGUCCUAUAUAAGUAGAGUAUGUGGAUGGGAGGCCAAGAACACACCAACAAAUAAAAUGUUGAAUACAUCAGUCAAGGGCCUAUCGAGAUGAUCAGGAUGCUGGCUAUUGGAAUGUUUAUCCUCCCACCCCACCCCAGAAGAGGACCUUCUUGGCUUGUUCACCGCUGUUUCCCAGCCUGGCACACAGCAGAUGCACAAUGAAUAUUCAUUAAAAUCAAUGAUUAACUAAACUGGCUAGUAUUCCAUCUCACUUUCAUUACUGGAGAACUGAAGAGCCAGCUAGCCUACAAAAACUCAUUCUGGAUUUAGAAGCAAUAAGAAAACAUGCGUUCAAAUAAAAUCAGAGAAUCCUUCU